This 468-nucleotide ribosomal RNA is filed under the name uncultured bacterium. Its description in RNAcentral is "partial 16S ribosomal RNA". It matches the Rfam family "Bacterial small subunit ribosomal RNA", at positions 28 to 507 of the family's 1533-position model. The record is from RNAcentral.
GACGAACGCUGGCGGCGUGCUUAACACAUGCAAGUCGAACGGAAAGGCCCUGCUUUUGUGGGGUGCUCGAGUGGCGAACGGGUGAGUAACAUGUGAGUAACCUGCCCUUGACUUUGGGAUAACUUCAGGAAACUGGGGCUAAUACCGGAUAGGAGCUCCUGCUGCAUGGUGGGGGUUGGAAAGUUUCGGCGGUUGGGGAUGGACUCUCGGCUUAUCAGCUUGUUGGUGGGGUAGUGGCUUACCAAGGCUUUGACGGGUAGCCGGCCUGAGAGGGUGACCGGCGACAUUGGGACUGAGAUACGGCCCAGACUCCUACGGGAGGCAGCAGUGGGGAAUAUUGCACAAUGGGCGGAAGCCUGAUGCAGCAACGCCGCGUGCGGGAUGACGGCCUUCGGGUUGUAAACCGCUUUCGCCUGUGACGAAGCGUGAGUGACGGUAAUGGGUAAAGAAGCACCGGCUAACUACGUG